CCUACGGGAGGCAGCAGUAGGGAAUAUUGCUCAAUGGGGGAAACCCUGAAGCAGCAACGCCGCGUGGAGGAUGAAGGUUUUCGGAUUGUAAACUCCUUUUGUUAGAGAAGAUAAUGACGGUAUCUAACGAAUAAGCACCGGCUAACUCCGUGCCAGCAGCCGCGGUAAUACGGAGGGUGCAAGCGGUACUCGGAAUCACUGGGCGUAAAGAGCGCGUAGGCGGGCUAGCAAGUCAGAUGUGAAAUCCUAUGGCUUAACCAUAGAACUGCAUUUGAAACUGUUAUUCUAGAGUAUGGGAGAGGUAGGUGGAAUUCGUGGUGUAGGGGUAAAAUGCGUAGAGAUCAAGAAGAAUACUGAUUGCGAAGGCGGCCUGCUAGAACAUAACUGACGCUGAUGCGCGAAAGCGUGGGGAGCAAACAGGAUUAGAUACCCGGGUAGUC
This 440-nucleotide ribosomal RNA is filed under the name uncultured bacterium. RNAcentral describes it as "partial 16S ribosomal RNA". It matches the Rfam family "Bacterial small subunit ribosomal RNA", at positions 338 to 795 of the family's 1533-position model. The record is from RNAcentral.